Molecule: ribosomal RNA, 468 nt
Filed under: uncultured bacterium
Lineage: Bacteria
Description: partial 16S ribosomal RNA
Rfam family: Bacterial small subunit ribosomal RNA
Source: RNAcentral
GACGAACGCUGGCGGCGUGCUUAACACAUGCAAGUCGAACGGAAAGGCCCUGCUUUUGUGGGGUGCUAGAGUGGCGAACGGGUGAGUAACACGUGAGUAACCUGCCCUUGACUUUGGGAUAACUGCAGGAAACUGGGGCUAAUACCGGAUAGGAGCUCGUGCUGCAUGGUGGGGGUUGGAAAGUUUCGGCGGUUGGGGAUGGACUCGCGGCUUAUCAGCUUGUUGGUGGGGUAGUGGCUUACCAAGGCUUUGACGGGUAGCCGGCCUGAGAGGGUGACCGGCCACAUUGGGACUGAGAUACGGCCCAGACUCCUACGGGAGGCAGCAGUGGGGAAUAUUGCACAAUGGGCGGAAGCCUGAUGCAGCAACGCCGCGUGCGGGAUGACGGCCUUCGGGUUGUAAACCGCUUUCGCCUGUGACGAAGCGUGAGUGACGGUAAUGGGUAAAGAAGCACCGGCUAACUACGUG